RNAcentral lists this ribosomal RNA (323 nucleotides) under Sandonidae sp. RNAcentral's name for it is "SSU rRNA". The stretch from base 58 to 323 matches the Rfam family "Eukaryotic small subunit ribosomal RNA", at positions 689 to 955 of the family's 1831-position model. Lineage: Eukaryota; Cercozoa; Glissomonadida; Sandonidae. The record is from RNAcentral.
GAUUUCUGGCGAGACAUAUCUGGCCGGCCACGGUUUCGUGUGUUAGUGCUUGAUAUUCUAGCCAUCCUUCCAAUGGCUAUUCAUCCUUCUUCAUUGAGGUGGUGAGUGGUAUUGGAUCUUUUACUUUGAAAAAAUUAGAGUGUUUCAAGCAGGCUUUAUGCUGUGAAUACAUUAGCAUGGAAUAAUAAUUUAGGACUUCGGUUCUAUUUUGUUGGUUUCUAGGACUGAAGUAAUGAUUGAUAGGGACAGUUGGGGAUGCUGAAAUUCAUUGGCCAGAGGUGAAAUUCUUGGAUUCAAUGAAGUUCAACUCAUGCGAAAGCAUU